UGGACUGGACUGGAGAUGGCCGUCGGGAGUGAGUCCGCUGUCUGCCGCAAGUUUCGCCCGGAGUGGGAAAGUUGGGCGGGACAUGUCCAGAUUCCUGGAAAUCUGAGGAGCAGCCUUUGGUGGAUGAAGAAUGUAAUUCUCCCUGGAGAUGUGGGUAUCCCUUUUGAAGGGGACUGAAGUAGAAUCAGCUGAUAUCCAAGGAACACGACGUCAAGACAUGCAAGAGUAUUUUGGAGUGAACUGGCAGUAAGCCUUGCAGUACCAUGGUGGCAAUAACACUGGCUGUCCUCUGGAGAUGCUGAAGCUCAGCCUUAUUUUGAACUUCUUUCUUAGACCCUGCAACCUGUUCACGAAGGACUGCUACUGAUUUGGAUUCAUAUGGUCAUGGCAGGAAGAGUAAGGAUUUGCUUCUGUCCAUUUGAGUGAAGAUUCCUGUGCUUUGCAGAGAUUUUUGGUGAGGCCUUUGCAGGCUUUUGUGGGUGCUACCUUUUCCAUCCCACUACAGUCUGGAAAAAUUCUUUGAUGAAAGACAACAAAGUACAAGAUGAUAGCAUUAUACCAUCUGAGAUGGCUUUCAAAGAAUGGAUCAAACUUUUCUGGUGAGUGCUGCACUUUAGGCCUUCACACCUGAGAGUGGACUUACUGAGGGAGUGACCAGCUCUGCUUUCACUGUGAGCUUGGAACAUGUACAGCCGGAUGAUGGAGGAUGUGACACAGGUCUGCCCUGAGGCUGUUGAUCCCUGGGUGGCCACAGCAGGUACACCUUGAAGCAUCAGUUGCAGUGCAAGAGGUCAAGCUGGAACACCUGAAAGCAUGUGACCAUGGAUAAGCCCACAACAGAGCAGCUACACCCCUAGAGGGACUGCAGCCCUCAUAGCCCACGGGUAAGGCUGUGUUGGACAAGGUUUCUUCUGGAGAUCUGUGACCAUGGCUAAGUCUAUGCCACAGUAGGUAUAAACCUGAAGAGACUGUAUCUUAUCUAUAAGGCUCCAUUUGGAGCAGGUACAACCUGCAGUCUGUGGACAAGGCAGCUGGGUUGGUAGUGCUAGAAACUGUCCUGGUGCUUUUUUUUUGCUGUUUGCCCUGUUCUUUUGCAGGCAUUAAAAGUUAACUGGUGGGUAAUAAAAUCAUGGUUCAUUUGCUACAGUUUAUGCUUGGAUGAAGCCCUGAUGUUUACUGCUGUAAACAAAAGCCCAAUUUGUGUUUUGAAUUUACUUAUCUUAUCUGAUAGAUAGAGGUAAUCAACAGGUAUUUUACAUCCUCAGUUAAUUCACUACCUUAUGGCUUGUGCCAUACUUUUUUUCUGCCUUUGUUUAAUGGAUGUUUCCAUUGUUAAAAUACUGCAUUUUGGAAAACCAGUCCAACAUCCAUUUGGUGGUUAUUUGUUUCAUUCACUUUUAAGUACACUAAUUCAGCUAUCUGAUCUUUCUAAAUUCCUCCAGUGGUUAAUGGGGCAAUGGACACUUCCAAGAUCCUCUUCACUUUGGGAUACAUUAGCAAGUACUGCAAGCCAGUGGCAGACCUGAGGAACAACAUAGUGCUGAGAAUCUGACACCAACACUACUAAAUUUAGUGAUUUUUUUUUCUUUCUUCAGAAUAGUCCUAAUCUGGUUGCAUGGACUGAAUGCCCAUUGCAUUUGGAGUGUAUUGGGUAUACUCCUGAUCUCCAUCUUCCAGUUUAUUUGAUCUUAACCAAAUAAAGGUUAUGUUCCCUGAGACUGUGUGAAUGAGUAAUAUGAACCAAAGCCCAGAAAAGAGAAGAAUUGGGAGCUUAUUUUUAAAAGCUCUGCUAUCUUCUGAUCCAGGCUAAAGCACUAAUAUAGGUACAGCCUCAAAGCACUGAUGUCAGAUUACAGUUCUGAAUUUCUUGCUGUAGCAGUCUCCCUCUUUCUUCAUUCCCCAUAGAGCAAACCUGUGGAGACUCAUCAGCUACUUCAUUGCAGAAAAGUUGGGUGCUGAGAGUUAUGCUGUGACUUCCAUGUGACACCACUGCAGUGUGGAC
Long non-coding RNA from Pseudopodoces humilis (Tibetan ground-tit), 2002 nucleotides. RefSeq lists it as uncharacterized. Lineage: Eukaryota; Metazoa; Chordata; Aves; Passeriformes; Paridae. The record is from RefSeq and is a predicted model, not a curated record.